RNAcentral lists this ribosomal RNA (238 nucleotides) under uncultured bacterium. RNAcentral describes it as "partial 16S ribosomal RNA". It matches the Rfam family "Bacterial small subunit ribosomal RNA", at positions 96 to 334 of the family's 1533-position model. The record is from RNAcentral.
CGGCGGACGGGUGAGUAACGCGUGGGUAACCUACCCUGUACACACGGAUAACAUACCGAAAGGUAUGCUAAUACGGGAUAAUAUAUUUGAGAGGCAUCUCUUAAAUAUCAAAGGUGAGCCAGUACAGGAUGGACCCGCGUCUGAUUAGCUAGUUGGUAAGGUAACGGCUUACCAAGGCGACGAUCAGUAGCCGACCUGAGAGGGUGAUCGGCCACAUUGGAACUGAGACAUGGUCCAA